UACGUAGGGGGGCUAGCGUUGUCCGGAUUUAUUGGGCGUAAAGAGCGUGUAGGCGGCCAGGUAGGUCUGCUGUGAAAACUCGAGGCUCAACCUCGAGACGUCGGCGGAAACCAUCUGGCUAGAGUCCGGAAGAGGAGAGUGGAAUUCCUGGUGUAGCGGUGAAAUGCGCAGAUAUCAGGAGGAACACCGGUGGCGAAGGCGGGCCUCUGGGCCGAUAUUGACGCUGAGGAGCGAAAGCGUGGGGAGCAAACAGG
RNAcentral lists this ribosomal RNA (254 nucleotides) under uncultured bacterium. Its description in RNAcentral is "partial 16S ribosomal RNA". It matches the Rfam family "Bacterial small subunit ribosomal RNA", at positions 524 to 776 of the family's 1533-position model. The record is from RNAcentral.